RNAcentral lists this long non-coding RNA (3832 nucleotides) under Sus scrofa (pig). RNAcentral's name for it is "lncRNA (ENSSSCG00005000498.1)". Lineage: Eukaryota; Metazoa; Chordata; Mammalia; Artiodactyla; Suidae. The record is from RNAcentral.
GGGAGGGAAUGGGGAAAGUGGAACACAGCAGUUGCCAGCCUGCUCUUUUGAGGUCAUGAAUCGAAUGUAAGUCUCUUCGAGAACCUGCCUUUUGAGUGCAUUCCUUUGUCCAUCAACCCGGUAGAAAGUUUGACAAGGAGUCCAUUCAUUUAUUCUUUAGGUGUCUAUUGCGUAUCUACUAUGUCCGGGGUAGAGUGAUUGAUAUGCGCGUGAGCCCUUCUUCUUGAACAUUCCUGAAGAACUGUCACGCCCAGCUUUGUCACACCUGAAAUGUGUCUGCCAGCCUUUGUCUACCAGCCUUACCCCUACCAACGGCCGUUACUGCCCCCUCCAAGAUAUUUGAAGAAGGGAAUGAAUGAUCGGUUUAGGACCAUAGGUGGGUAUCCUGUGUGUCAUCUGCACAAAAGUAGGGCCCCCGUUUUGCAAUGUCACAGAGCAGGAAGGCCUGAGGAGGGAAUUUAGCCCAGCCGUCUGAAUCUGGGCUUGGCAGUGACCCUCUUUUUCUUACGGUAUUGAGUUUGCUGAUAUUUAAGUAGCUCGAGCUUUGGACUUUUCCAUGUGAGGUUUUUGGGGGAUCUCCUCAAGGAUCUGCCUCUCCUGAAUUCUUGGUUUACCUCUGUUACUUGUUGUGAAUCUAUGACGGAUAAAUCAGCUCAUCUGUUUUUGAAGCCAUUUAAGUUCUUGUUCUGUGUUAUCUGUUAAGAAUAUGCGUGCCGUUGGUUUACUCUGUAGUUAUGUCAAGGCGUAUUUCCUUUAUUUGUCUUGUGUUGGUUCACAUUAAACUUUGAGGUUUGCAACCCAGGUCCAAAAGAAAAGGAUUUGGGGAAGGCGUUCCUGUUUCCGAAUUGCGUCUUUGUGAUUUUUUGUGUACCGUACAUGCCUGAAUAUGAAGUAAGGGAUUUUCAGUUAUCCCUCAGGAGAGAGAAGUCAUUUUAUAUUAAAAUUUUCAUCUGGUCUCUUAUAUUGCAGAAUAUUCACUCGGUUACUUUAUUUCAAAAACAAUAGGUAUUUGUGGCUUGAAAUAUUUUUCUUGACCCCAGCUACCUAUAAUAAUCUAAGUUUAUUAUAAUUGCUGGUUUUGCCUGGGAGUGGGAGGUUGACGCAUGCUCAUACAUUACUUAAAAUAACAUGUUUGGUUAUCUGCAGCUCUGUAUUGGAGACUAGCUCUGUAUGUUCUUGUUGCUAGAGCAAAGGGCAAUUAGUUGACCUCUGUCUGUACAAGCUUUAAUAAUGGGGUGUCUUUGUAAGCUUUGUUCCUUAGAGUUGAUAGGUUAUCUCCUCUCCCCAGGCUUCCUUAAGGAAGGUUGGGUGAUAGUGAUCAGGGCUUAAAGAGAGACUUUAGUGCCGCAGUUGGUGUAGACCAACAGCUUUAUAUAAGGUUCAUUUUCGAGUUCAUACCUUUAAAGCUGUCCCUGAUGAGGGCCACUUAUGGCUCUAUUUGUGGAUAGAAAUCCUAUUGUUGCUGAAAAGGGUAUAAGAAGUCUUGUUUACCUUAAUUCUCCAUCCUGGCCAGUCACUUGCAGUGACAGUCUUUUGGCUUCUGGAUAAGAUGAGACAUUUCUUUUUACUCAAUAAAGAUGAAGAAGACUCUUCGUUAAUAAAUGUUCAUACACACAUCUAAGGGAGAUCACUCAAUUUCACUGUAUAAAAAAGCAGUAAGAUCUCAAACGUAGAAUUGUAGAAGGAUGUGUUUGUGUCGUGUGCUAAACUCUGAAUCAUUUGUGAACUAUAUUCUUGGGAUAAAUCUUAAAAAAUUAUAAAAUGUAUAGAUAAGUUACCGUGUCCUUAAAACCAAAUGGCUUUCACUAAAUAAAAUUCUCUCUAUACACAGUUACAUUCUUGUGUUCUUAUAGUUAAUAUGAUAUUAAUAUGACAUAAUUCCUCUUUAAGAUUAUUUUGUUUUGCACACACUUAGGAACUUUCCUGGAAAACUGACACCUGGGUUCCUCUGUGCCAUUUUGAAUGAUGUCCUUUAUUAGAAACUCGCUAAAGAAGACCAAAUGAAUUUUGCAUUUUCUUUCCUUUUUUUUUAGGCUCUGAGAGUGUGUAUGUGUCUGAGACUAUGUAGGUGUCUAAAAGCCUAGCAUGCUUAAAACCAUGGCUGAAGAGUUAUGCUUAACUGUAUACUUUGCAUGCAUUUGUGAUUUGAAAUAGGGAAAAAAAAAGUCAAAUCGGAGACAGCUUGAAUGGCAUGCUGUCAGUUUGGAGCUUCAUGAAUUGGCAAUGGUCUCAUUUAGGACCUUCAGAUGUGUCUCUGCCUGGACAGAAUGAGAACGUUUUGCAUGUUCUGGAGGAGACAGCCACUCCUUGCUGCUUCACAAUGGGCAGCGGUGCAUGACAGUUGCCCUUCAUUGCUGGUUUCUUGGAGCUUAACCUCUGACCCUCCACUUAGUCGCUGUGCAGCGGCUGGAGCAGGUCGGAGAUGUUGGUGAAUGACGGGCAUUGGCCUGCAACGUGCUUGUCAUUAUUCGACUGUCAAAAGGAGCCUGCCAUUGGUUUCCAUCCAGGUUUGAAACCUCUGUGCAACAGUCCAUAUUCCUUAACUUCCAGGGCUGUCAACAGCAUGAUCAAAUGUGCAUAAAAAAAAAUCAGAGUGCUGAAUAUAUCUUCAGUCAGAAGAUAGGAAGUUUCACCCUCCUCCUUUCUCUCUCUUUCUCUCUUUUCAUUUUUCUUUUGGUUGAAUAUAUUCCGAUGACUUUCACAGGGCCAAGAGGUUGAAUCUGUUGCCACGGUGAAAAAAGUGAACUGUUGUCUCAUGUGGUCCGAGUUUCAAACAGCACAAUGAGGAUCUGAGCAGGUCUGCCAGUUAAAACUCUCAGGCUUGUCUUGCAUAUCCUCUCAGCUUUCAGCCAUUGGUUUAAGGGACUGGGUGGUUUAAGGGACUGGAUCCCAGUGGUACCUGGGAUGAGCUGACAAGAUGAAACAUUUACUUUGGUUUUUAUGUGAUUUUGCAAAGGAAUGGAGAGGUCAGUUUGUACGAUUUGUAAAGCAGGGAUUGGGGAAAUUUAAAAUAACGAAGGGAGGAUAAGACUUUUUUUUUUUCAUGGUAAAGAAGUUCAAACACAAGGAGUUUAAUUGGCUGUGAUCAAGUUUUAGAGACUUCAGAGGUCAAGCUUAGGCAAGGAGAUUCUUAGAUACACAGAAAUACGGCCGUCAAAGCCAUCUCUCCGUGUAAAUCUGAGACUCUGAAUGCAGAAGCAUCCCAAAGUAGAAAGGGAUGAGGGAAAGCCCAACCAUAUUCUUAAAUUUCUUCAUGUGCAGAAGUAGGGGUACUUCCGUCCUGUGGUGAGGACGAAAGGAGAGAUUCUGUUUGAGAAAUACUUGCUUUUGUGCAGUACCCUGGGCCCUCCACAGGCACUUCCUGGUUUCCUCUUUAUCCUUUUCUGAGCAGAAAAGAUUUAUCAAGGCACUGUCUGGGCAGAUAACAUACUCUAGAACUCAAGACAGUCAGUCUUUGCGUUUCAGCUCUUCGACACCCCCUCCCCACCACUGUUACAGAUUUUAGUUCAUAAUACCACGUUUUAGUCAAGCCCUCAAACCACAGUUUUGAGUGGUCUGCCUGCCUGUCUUCUCCUUCCUUCUCUCGCUCCACAAAUAUUUUUUAAGCUCUUACUGUGCAUUGAGCCAUGUUGUCAGAUCUGGAACCCAGCCAUGAACUAAACGGACCUACACCACAGCUCGAGGCAAUGCAGGAUCCCCGACCCACCGAGCGAGGCCAAGGAUUGAACCUGCAUCCUCACGAAUACUGGUUGGAUUGGUUUCCAUUGCACCACAAUGGGAACUCCACAAGGGUUGUGUUUUUGUUGGUCUGUUGUAUUUUCAGUAUCUGGCG